RNAcentral lists this ribosomal RNA (587 nucleotides) under uncultured bacterium. Its description in RNAcentral is "bacterial SSU rRNA". It matches the Rfam family "Bacterial small subunit ribosomal RNA", at positions 337 to 916 of the family's 1533-position model. The record is from RNAcentral.
UCCUACGGGAGGCAGCAGUGGGGAAUAUUGGACAAUGGGGGGAACCCUGAUCCAGCCAUGCCGCGUGUGUGAAGAAGGCCCUCGGGUUGUAAAGCACUUUCAGCGAGGAAGAACGCCUAGCGGUUAAUACCCGCUAGGAAAGACAUCACUCGCAGAAGAAGCACCGGCUAACUCCGUGCCAGCAGCCGCGGUAAUACGGAGGGUGCAAGCGUUAAUCGGAAUUACUGGGCGUAAAGCGCGCGUAGGUGGCUUGAUAAGCCGGUUGUGAAAGCCCCGGGCUCAACCUGGGAACGGCAUCCGGAACUGUCAAGCUAGAGUGCAGGAGAGGAAGGUAGAAUUCCCGGUGUAGCGGUGAAAUGCGUAGAGAUCGGGAGGAAUACCAGUGGCGAAGGUGGCCUUCUGGACUGACACUGACACUGAGGUGCGAAAGCGUGGGUAGCAAACAGGAUUAGAUACCCUGGUAGUCCACGCCGUAAACGAUGUCGACCAGCCGUUGGGUGCCUAGCGCACUUUGUGGCGAAGUUAACGCGAUAAGUCGACCGCCUGGGGAGUACGGCCGCAAGGUUAAAACUCAAAUGAAUUGACGG